Long non-coding RNA from Prosopis cineraria, 509 nucleotides. RefSeq lists it as uncharacterized. NCBI's taxonomy places the organism in Eukaryota, Viridiplantae, Streptophyta, Magnoliopsida, Fabales, Fabaceae. The record is from RefSeq and is a predicted model, not a curated record. The transcript is spliced from 4 exons.
CAGAGACUUCUGGAUCCUUCAACACAAGGGUUCUAACUCUGCUCUUCUUUGAUUUCUCCGCGUGUAGCUGGUGACCGUGGAGGAGUUCAUAACUGUUGCUGUCUUCCUCAUCUUUUUCCUGCUUUUAUUUUCGUUCUGGUGUUGUCGGUGUCCGAGGAGCUGAGUAGUUAGAGCUGGAGGAUCUAUUUGUAAGUCACUUUGGUUCUUGGUUGGUUGUUGUGGCUGUAUUCCUCCCCCCCUCUGAUGCAUCGUGUUCGGAAUUUCCCUCCCCUGUUUAGCUUAAGGAUGUUUGGAAGGAGGGAAGCUCAAAUGGAGUCAUAAGGAAUGAGUUUGGAGCCUUGAGGAUACUACAGAUAGCGUAGCGGACCGUGUACCUCCAUUAGAUCCUUAAGGGCAUUUUGCUUCUGGACUGAAGUUGAGACACCAUUUUGGUUAAUUUUUAUUUUGAUGUAAAUUUAUAAUUCAUAUAUCGUAUUUUUACAAAUAAUGUUUUAGGUGCUCCACAUAGA